UACGUAGGGGGCAAGCGUUGUUCGGAUUUAUUGGGCGUAAAGAGCGUGUAGGCGGCCAGGUAGGUCUGGUGUGAAAACUCGAGGCUCAACCUCGAGAUGUCAUCGGAAACCAUCUGGCUAGAGUCCGGAAGAGGAGAGUGGAAUUCCUGGUGUAGCGGUGAAAUGCGCAGAUAUCAGGAAGAACACCUAUGGCGAAGGCAGCUCUCUGGGACGGUACUGACGCUGAGACGCGAAAGCGUGGGGAGCGAACAGG
RNAcentral lists this ribosomal RNA (253 nucleotides) under uncultured bacterium. RNAcentral describes it as "partial 16S ribosomal RNA". It matches the Rfam family "Bacterial small subunit ribosomal RNA", at positions 524 to 776 of the family's 1533-position model. The record is from RNAcentral.